AUGCUAAAAAUGGUUAUAAUAGGAGAAGCUGAUGGCAAUGAAGGAGAUGGUUCUGGAAGUCAGUCCCUUCACCGGAGGACAAAGCGUGCUGCUAAUCGCCAGCCACGCCCAAAACGUAGUAUUGAGCAGGGAGAGGAGGUUGAGGCCAGCGGUGAAGGAGUUGAGGUGGCCGCCCAGGAAGAUGUGGAGCGACCAUCACAAGAUGACAGGUUAAGGGCAUCACCAGGGCGGUUUGCGAAGUUUAACAGCUCGCUAUCCCCGCCACAGAAGUCAGAGCUAGUUUUAAGGUUGUUUGGGGGCCUCUUGAACUUAUCAAAUACACUUCCAGGGGACUUCAGUAAAUUCCUGGUGCAGUCCUGCCAGCCAGAGACAUCUGAAAUGGUGUUCCCAGGCAGGGGAAGUAUCCGUGUCGAUGCUGGCAGUGUUCAAAGCGUAUUUGAUCUUCCUAACAGGGGUCUAAAAGUCAGAUAUAAAGUUAACAAGGAUACAAAUAGAAGAUUCAGAGAGACUUUCAACAUACGUGGAGAUUCUCAUCCCCAGAUCACUACAUGGACCAAGAUGAUUAAGGAUAUGGGGAUCCUGUACCUUGACGCGCUCGUUCAUGACAUCCCAAUAAGCAACUGUGCUAUACGAUCAAAUGCAUGGGACAGCAACCUAAUUGCCAAGGUGAUCAAGAAGGACACGAUCUCUCCUGGUGUGUUCAGCAAAUUACAAAAAAAGGCAAAGAUUGCCAAAGUGGUCAAUGACUUGUGCAAGGUAGUAACUGAACAGGUUGGCAUCUUCAUUGAAGCAGUUGCCAAGAUCGAUGAUGAGGAACCGGAUGUUGAUCCAUAUGUACAUCAGACAUCAACGGGAACCGCUCCGUCACGCCGUGCUCCAAAAAGGAAGAGACAGGUUUCACCUAUACCAGAAGAAGAAGAGUUCGAUGAGGAGGAGUCAGACGAAGAUGAUGAAAUGGAAGUACCACAAGAUGUUGAAGACGAGGGGAGACAGAUGAGGAUGAAUCAGAGGAGGAGGACAAAGAGGAGGAUGAUAAAGAAGAAGAGGAUGAUGAUGAUGAUGAGGAGGAGGAGGAAGAGGAGGAGGAUGAAGAGGAGGAGGAGGACAAAGGAAAAGAGGACAAAGGAGAGGAGGAGGGCAAGGAAGAAGAUAGUGAGGCGGAGGAGGAAGAACAAGAAAAUGUUGGUAAAGAAGGAGAUGGAAACAAAGCUACAACAAUCGAUGGUAGUGAGGGGGAAGGAGAUGACGAUGAAGAAGACGAAGAUGCCGAUCCUGAUGAUCAAGAGGGAUCCAAUAGAGGCAGUGACAGUUCAGAUGAUGAUGAUGACAAUGCCCCUGGUUCUGGUGGUACAGGCAGCAACACAACCAGAUCUGCCAACCCUACCAGCAGCAGCAACUCAAUGA
This 1404-nucleotide ribosomal RNA is filed under the name Triticum aestivum (bread wheat). RNAcentral's name for it is "partial small subunit ribosomal RNA". The record is from RNAcentral. Lineage: Eukaryota; Viridiplantae; Streptophyta; Magnoliopsida; Poales; Poaceae.